ACAUGGAAUCAGAUUGAUUCUUAGCUUGGUCAAUAACUUGCAACCAUAUGGUGGGAAGAUGCAAUACAUUUCAAGCCAUAUUCAUGAGUUCAUUUUAUGAAAUUGGCGAUGAUGGUUAGGAAAUUUUCUUUCCACAUGAGUGUUAGCAAUUCCUCAGUAUUAACUAUUCAAAUCUGCUCUUUUUUUUUUUUUUUUUUUUUCUAUUAGUGAUGUUUGAGAUUUUCAAGCCCAAUGGAAAUCAUGAAAAAUCAAUGGGGGAAGGAGUGAAUGGGAAUUUAAAAGAAGGUGAUGCUCUUCUAAGUAAAGAUGGGGAUUCUUCUUUCACUGCUUUGAAAAACAGUAGAGCAUGGAGUUCUCAGUUCUCUGUGUCAUUCUUAUUGAAGGUGAGUUUUCUUUCUUACCUUUAUUUCUUUCUCAGGUUUUCUUAGAGAAAGUCAAUUCCAUUUACCUUUUUAUGUGUUUUUAAUGUCAGAUGAUGAGUUUAUGGGUCUGAAUUCUUACCUAGGUUUAUGUUGAAAUUUCACAUUGUUAACUUGGCGCCUGUUUGGUUGCCUCCUCUUGGAAAUGUGCUCAUCUCAUUUUAGCUGCUGUCAAUUGCUUAUGAGGGAUCAUAGUUUGUAUAAAUUGUUGGUUAUAUUUUUAAACCCUACAAAAAAAUUGGUCUCUAAUACAUAGAAAUGAAACGAACUCAUUUUUAAGUGGUACCGUUAGUUCCUUUUUGAAUUUGUUUUUGUUUGAAUGCAUGUUUUUGGGUCUUUAUGGAUUAUGGUGACCGUUUUUGGAUUAUAGGUAUGAGAGCAUUACAUAGGCAUGUCAAAAUAUUGUAUUGUUUGGAUUUUCUUUUGUUUUUUAUUUUUUAUUUUUUGUUUAUUUUAUUUUAUUUAUUUAUUUAUUUAACCCUACUGCUUUAGAGAAUGCUUUGGGUCGUAAUCUGAUUCUAGCAAUUCUGCAGGAGGGUGACCUUCUCAUCACCUCCCCUAUGGAACUAAUUAAGAUAAAAAAGAUGAAAAAAGUAUAAAGUGAAAUUUUCUAGGGAAAAAGCCCAAGUCUCCUCAGCUUUGCACAUCAAGCACCUAUUUGGAGGUAUAAAAUUCCACUUCUUAAGGAUAUGUACUGUUAGAAUCUUUUUUUUUUUUUUUUUCAGAAUUGAUAAUUUUAUUGCACGAAUUGAAAGGCUCGAAGGAGAAAAUAGAAAGCUACAAAAGAAACAUAAGGAAAAACAAAAAAUACAACCCGCCCCCAUAAGCACCUAUUCAUAGUAAUUGUCUUUUAUUUCUGUUGUUCUUUUGUUUAUUUCUACACAAGUAUUUAUUUGUGCUUAUCAUGAUCAUCUGACUUCUAUUAGAUGGCACAACAAUAGCCGCAAGUUUGUACUAAUUUUCAUGAGUACUUCCUUUAAAAACAAGGUAAGGAAAUUUUUCUUUAGAUUUAUUUUCAUUUGUUUAUUCUAUGUUGCAGACAAAUUUUUUUAUUUUGUUGUUGUUAUUGAGAUAAGUGUUUUUCAAGAAUGUAACUUUGGUAGUUAAUGUGGUUGAAAUUUACUAAGGAAUACUAAUGUAACUGAGAUGAAGAUAUGAAACACAUGAACAAUUCAAAUAAAGUUAGUGAUUGGUUGUCAUUAUCCAUUGAUAGAAAUAUGUGGAAAGUGAGAAAAUUUAGUGGAAGGAUCCGGUUUAUUUUUGUUGAUUACUUGGAAAUGAAGGAUUUGAGAAAGAUAAUUUGACCAUAUUAAUUACAAACUUGUCCAUCUCCCAAUUUUGACAUCGUUGUUUCUUUGACUGUAAUUUGAUCAUCAUUAAAGAUUGGAAUUGAAUGCAUACUGCUAUUUUUCCAUAUGUCGUUUUGCUAACUAUGAAUAUAAUGUGCGUGUUGUUCAUACUUUUCAGUGGAAAUUUCUCAUCAUUGAUAAAAAAAAGUCGUGUAUACUCAUUAAACAAAUUGUUGUAGUUGUCCGAUCAGUGUGAUUGCUCUGUCUAGGUAGCCAUAUGCAAUUGGGAGCACAUAAUUUGUAGAGCCAUGGGAGCACUGGAUCAUUUCUCUAAUUUAAAUUUCAAUUUACUCAGUUCAUAAUUUCUGUGUUCAGAUAUCCCAAAUACCAAAAGCAUUAGUUAAUGCAUACAAGAAAGUAACAAGAACGUAGGAGGAAAAAGUGCACAAAAGAUGCAGGUCUUGAUACAAAUGCAGGUCUUGAUGAAGAAUUAGUAUAUAGCACAAGCACAUACAUGCAUUCACACUUGCAUGCUGUAGCACUAACAAUGCGUGGAAGAUGGCAUUUAUUACACAGCACAUGCAAUAUAAUUCCUUUUUGAAAAUGCAUCUCAACUCUAUCAUACAUUAGUAUUCUUCACUCAAACCAGUUUACAGGCACUUGUUUUACCAGUUCUGUACAUCAAUUAUUUGUCUGAUUUUUCUUAAGUCCCAUCAAACAUGCUUUUUUUUUUUUUUGGGUUAGCUUGUUAGUACACCCACUGUCAGUUCAUUUGAGAGCUCUUUCUAGUACAUCUGUUGGUUGUAACUCCUAGAGCUAUACUGUAGAUUGAAACUUUAUUUCUAAAUAAGAAAAAAAAUGUUAGCUGAAAUUGUGGUUGGUCUAAAUUUUCUAAGUGUAGAGGGUGGAAGUACAAAGAGUAUGGCUAAUGCUGCAGAGUGCGUCGAAAGGGCAACUGGUGACAUGUUGAUUGGUCCGAACUGGGGAGUCAAUAUUGAGAUCUGUGACAUUAUUAAUAUGGAUCUAGGGAAAUGGUUUGUUUAUGUUUAAAGUGGCUAGGAGAUGUAUUGGUGUGAAUUUUCUUGG
Molecule: long non-coding RNA, 2794 nt
Organism: Magnolia sinica
Lineage: Eukaryota; Viridiplantae; Streptophyta; Magnoliopsida; Magnoliales; Magnoliaceae
Exons: 2
Source: RefSeq, a predicted model, not a curated record